UACACGCUGUGACUAGCAUAUCAAUAAGCGGAGGAAAAGAAACUAACAAGGAUUCCCCUAGUAACGGCGAGUGAAGCGGGAAGAGCUCAAAUUUGAAAUCUUAAAGGGUUUCCCUUUACGAAUUGUAGUUUAAAGAAGUGUUUUCUGUUGAGGUUUUGGUAAAAGUUCUUUGGAAUAGGACAUCAUAGAGGGUGAGAAUCCCGUAUUUGACCUUUACUUUCAACUUUGUGAUACACUUUCAAAGAGUCGGAUUGUUUGGGAAUGCAGUCCAAAAUGGGUGGUAAAUUUCAUCUAAAGCUAAAUGUUGGCGAGAGACCGAUAGCGAACAAGUACCGUGAGGGAAAGAUGAAAAGAACUUUGAAAAGAGAGUUAAACAGUACGUGAAAUUGUCAAAAGGGAAGCGUUUGACACCAGUGUUGUUUUUCUGAAAAUCAAUUAAAGAACUGUUUAUGCUAAGCUGUUUAGACUUUAUCAGCUAUCUGUUUAGUUUUGAGCCUUUCUUUAAUGCACUUUUCAGUUAACAAGUCAACAUCAAUUUCUUUUGCUGUAAAAAAGCUUGAGGAAGGUGGCUUGAGAUUCGUCUUAAGUGUUUAUAGCCUCUUGCCUAUGCAGUCGGAGAGAUUGAGGUCUGCAGCGUAGAUCCUUCGGGGCUAAAUGCAUUUGUGCUAAGUUAUAGCAUUUUAUAGACAACUUGUUGACUAUGAUUUGUCUUGUAGCUUACUCGCUUAUGUUAUUUAUACCUACGCUUAGGAUGUUGACGCGCGUGUGUGCGUG
This 774-nucleotide ribosomal RNA is filed under the name uncultured Neocallimastigales. RNAcentral describes it as "partial large subunit ribosomal RNA". It matches the Rfam family "Eukaryotic large subunit ribosomal RNA", at positions 22 to 639 of the family's 3401-position model. Lineage: Eukaryota; Fungi; Neocallimastigomycota; Neocallimastigomycetes; Neocallimastigales. The record is from RNAcentral.